UUAUCGUGUUCCAUCGCCAUCUUCCUUUGUUCUGCAACAACUGAAACCUAAAGAAGCAUCUUCAAAAAGGGAUGGGGUUGGUCUUUCAGUAGCAGCUGGAGUAGUUCGCAGAUCUUUUUCAGCUUCUCUUUUGCAGUUUUAGGAUUGAACAUGUUACCUUAUUUAUAUGAAAGAUCCACCCUCUCUGAAUGGCCGUUACAUUAACAAAGACAUGAUGGCUGCUGCUUUUGGUCGUCCUAAAAAGAAGCUUCCUCCAACUACUGCUAUCAGAAGAAACUCAGAGAGCAGCAGCUUCCUACUACUUUCUGCAACCAGCCUUGCCUCUGUUGAAUCUUUAUCCAUGCCUCUUAACAGGUCCAGGAAGUUGUUCUUUCAGCAGACAUUCGAUGUGCAGAAUGUCAAAGGAGAGUUGCUGAUAUAAUGUCCAGAAUGAAUGAGACACAGUCAGUGGUGGUGAAUUUGUUGGAGAAAAAGGUGAUACUAACAUACAAGAAUGCAAGUGCUGGCAAAGCAUCCACACAUGAGCAAGCUGUUGCUACCAUAUACAGGAAUCCUCUUAGCAAAGUUGCCAUUAUCAGGCGGAUUUUCCGCUCUUCUCGAUGAUAUAUGAUUACUGAUAUAUACUCUCUUAGACCAUGUAUAAAAAAGUUUCAAUUUUCAUUGUUGAUGAAUAAAUCAAUUGUGUAUGUUGUACUUGGUUUUUA
Juglans regia (Persian walnut) is the source of this 704-nucleotide RNA transcript. RefSeq lists it as uncharacterized. The record is from RefSeq and is a predicted model, not a curated record. Lineage: Eukaryota; Viridiplantae; Streptophyta; Magnoliopsida; Fagales; Juglandaceae. The transcript is spliced from 3 exons.